GACGAACGCUGGCGGCGUGCCUAAUACAUGCAAGUAGAACGCUGAAGACUUUAGCUUGCUAAAGUUGGAAGAGUUGCGGACGGGUGAGUAACGCGUAGGUAACCUGCCUACUAGCGGGGGAUAACUAUUGGAAACGAUAGCUAAUACCGCAUAACAGCUUUUAACUCAUGUUAGGAGAUUGAAAGGUGCAAUUGCAUCACUAGUAGAUGGACCUGCGUUGUAUUAGCUAGUUGGUGAGGUAACGGCUCACCAAGGCGACGAUACAUAGCCGACCUGAGAGGGUGAUCGGCCACACUGGGACUGAGACACGGCCCAGACUCCUACGGGAGGCAGCAGUAGGGAAUCUUCGGCAAUGGGGGCAACCCUGACCGAGCAACGCCGCGUGAGUGAAGAAGGUUUUCGGAUCGUAAAGCUCUGUUGUAAGAGAAGAACGUGUGUGAGAGUGGAAAGUUCACACAGUGACGGUAACCUACCAGAAAGGGACGGCUAACUACGUGCCAGCCGCCGCGGUAA
RNAcentral lists this ribosomal RNA (513 nucleotides) under uncultured bacterium. RNAcentral describes it as "partial 16S ribosomal RNA". It matches the Rfam family "Bacterial small subunit ribosomal RNA", at positions 28 to 523 of the family's 1533-position model. The record is from RNAcentral.